RNAcentral lists this ribosomal RNA (253 nucleotides) under uncultured bacterium. Its description in RNAcentral is "partial 16S ribosomal RNA". It matches the Rfam family "Bacterial small subunit ribosomal RNA", at positions 524 to 776 of the family's 1533-position model. The record is from RNAcentral.
UACGAAGGGUGCAAGCGUUACUCGGAAUUACUGGGCGUAAAGCGUGCGUAGGUGGUUUGUUAAGUCUGUUGUGAAAGCCCCGGGCUCAACCUGGGAAUGGCAGUGGAUACUGGCAGGCUAGAGUGCGGUAGAGGGUAGUGGAAUUCCCGGUGUAGCGGUGAAAUGCGUAGAGAUCGGGAGGAACACCAGUGGCGAAGGCGGCUACCUGGACCAGCACUGACACUGAGGCACGAAAGCGUGGGGAGCAAACAGG